AUUUGUGAAUUGGGGAGAAGCAAGAGGUAUUCUUUGAACUAUUGUUAUUUGAUACAUGCAGGUCAACUGAAAAGAACAGGCAUGGACAGCCACAGGAAGGGUGGGGCUUCAGGCCACAUUAAGUAGGCAAUAGAAGGAAGGAGAAAAUCUUAUCUCGUGGAACUAUACUAUAUAAACACCUGAAAAUGUCAAAGAUUUGUUUAAAGGGUACAACUUACCCUUUAGCUGAAAUAAAGUUGGGAGGACAGAC
RNAcentral lists this long non-coding RNA (250 nucleotides) under Homo sapiens (human). RNAcentral's name for it is "HSALNT0198501". Lineage: Eukaryota; Metazoa; Chordata; Mammalia; Primates; Hominidae. The record is from RNAcentral.